UGAAGGACCGAGUUAGGCUAGCGGAGGACGCUGUUUAGGGUAAAACCGAGUGACUAGGGCU
Molecule: ribosomal RNA, 61 nt
Filed under: uncultured bacterium
Lineage: Bacteria
Description: partial 16S ribosomal RNA
Source: RNAcentral